GACGAACGCUGGCGGCGUGCUUAACACAUGCAAGUCGAACGGAAAGGCCCUGCUUUUGUGGGGUGCUCGAGUGGCGAACGGGUGAGUAACACGUGAGUAACCUGCCCUUGACUUUGGGAUAACUUCAGGAAACUGGGGCUAAUACCGGAUAGGAGCUCCUGCUGCAUGGUGGGGGUUGGAAAGUUUCGGCGGUUGGGGAUGGACUCGCGGCUUAUCAGCUUGUUGGUGGGGUAGUGGCUUACCAAGGCUUUGACGGGUAGCCGGCCUGAGAGGGUGACCGGCCACAUUGGGACUGAGAUACGGCCCAGACUCCUACGGGAGGCAGCAGUGGGGAAUAUUGCACAAUGGGCGGAAGCCUGAUGCAGCAACGCCGCGUGCGGGAUGACGGCCUUCGGGUUGUAAACCGCUUUCGCCUGUGACGAAGCGUGAGUGACGGUAAUGGGUAAAGAAGCACCGGCUAACUACGUGCCAGCAGCCGCGGUGAUACGUAGGGUGCGAGCGUUGUCCGGAUUUAUUGGGCGUAAAGGGCUCGUAGGUGGUUGAUCGCGUCGGAAGUGUAAUCUUGGGGCUUAACCCUGAGCGUGCUUUCGAUACGGGUUGACUUGAGGAAGGUAGGGGAGAAUGGAAUUCCUGGUGGAGCGGUGGAAUGCGCAGAUAUCAGGAGGAACACCAGUGGCGAAGGCGGUUCUCUGGGCCUUUCCUGACGCUGAGGAGCGAAAGCGUGGGGAGCGAACAGGCUUAGAUACCCUGGUAGUCCACGCUGUAAACGGUGGGUACUAGGUGUGGGGUCCAUUCCACGGGUUCCGUGCCGUAGCUAACGCUUUAAGUACCCCGCCUGGGGAGUACGGCCGCAAGGCUAAAACUCAAAGGAAUUGACGGGGCCCCGCACAAGCGGCGGAGCAUGCGGAUUAAUUCGAUGCAACGCGUAGAACCUUACCUGGGUUUGACAUGGAUCGGGGGUGCUCAGAGAUGGGUGUGCCUCUUUUGGGGUCGGUUCACAGGUGGUGCAUGGCUGUCGUCAGCUCGUGUCGUGAGAUGUUGGGUUAAGUCCCGCAACGAGCGCAACCCUUGUUCACUGUUGCCAGCACGUUAUGGUGGGGACUCAAUGGAGACCGCCGGGGUCAACUCGGAGGAAGGUGGGGAUGACGUCAAGUCAUCAUGCCCCUUAUGUCCAGGGCUUCACGCAUGCUACAAUGGCUGGUACAGAGAGUGGCGAGCCUGUGAGGGUGAGCGAAUCUCGGAAAGCCGGUCUCAGUUCGGAUUGGGGUCUGCAACUCGACCUCAUGAAGUCGGAGUCGCUAGUAAUCGCAGAUCAGCAACGCUGCGGUGAAUAAAUUCCCGGG
Molecule: ribosomal RNA, 1343 nt
Filed under: uncultured bacterium
Lineage: Bacteria
Description: 16S ribosomal RNA
Rfam family: Bacterial small subunit ribosomal RNA
Source: RNAcentral